RNAcentral lists this long non-coding RNA (603 nucleotides) under Ananas comosus (pineapple). RNAcentral's name for it is "long non-coding RNA (ACOM_LNC015371)". Lineage: Eukaryota; Viridiplantae; Streptophyta; Magnoliopsida; Poales; Bromeliaceae. The record is from RNAcentral.
UAACAAAACAAUUAUUUUCGCUAUUAUACCAAAUGGUAUAAUUUUUAGUCGAAAUAAAAUAUUUUUAUCAAAUCUAGUUAUUUUUAGGGGCAAUAGCUUAUAUAUCCCUGAAAAAUUUUCGACUUUUUAAUUUAUCCCUCUUAGAAGGCUAAUAUUGAAAAUACCUUUUCUACGUUCCAACCUAUUUCUAAUAUACUCUUAAAGUUAAAAUCUGUUAAUUAACUCUGCUAUUUUUGUAAAAUUACUAUUUUACCCUUUCAAAUAUACCAUUCCACCCUCACUGACUUUCUUAUUUGCCCUUAAAGUCAGGGGCACAAAAAGUAUUUUGACUUUUGGUCUUUUUUAAUAUACCCCUCUACCGUCACCAACAUUUCUUAUUUGCCCUUACGUUAAGGACAAAAAUGACAUUUUAAUUUUUUUUAACUGUGGUAGAUGUUUAACUCAUGUUUAACCCAAGUUAACUUCGGUGGAACAUAUGAGGGGUAUUUUAGAAAGAAAAAAAAAUAGAGCUAAAUCGAAUGUUUUCAAACGUAUGAGAGGUAUAUAAGCAAUUAUCCCUUAUUUUUACUAUUUGUUUUGGUAAGAUAUCAAUAAACUUUAUAU